Dicentrarchus labrax (European seabass) is the source of this 2606-nucleotide RNA transcript. RefSeq lists it as uncharacterized. The record is from RefSeq and is a predicted model, not a curated record. The transcript is spliced from 8 exons. NCBI's taxonomy places the organism in Eukaryota, Metazoa, Chordata, Actinopteri, Moronidae.
UGGAGAUUUGUGUUUGUGAUGCAUACUUUGUUGUAGAUUUAAUAACAGAUUUCAUUUUAUAUUGAUUAAUUGUUUCCUUCACUGUUAGGGGUUGUUGAAAAUCGCUGCUUGGAUAAACUGGUGUUCAGAGGAGACUCCAUCAUGUUCACAUGCAACACAUCCAUGGCAAAUAUAACUCAAAUCAGAUGGACAAAAGGCAUAUCUGUUUUUAUUUAUUCAGUCAUUAACAAUAAGACUUUUUCAAAUUCCACCUCUCACAGACUGAGAAUAGACUCAAACUCAUCGACAAAGCUGCAUGUUAUUAAUGCUCAGUGUGAUGACGAAGGACUUUAUAUAUGUGAUGUAAUUAGUACUGAUGGUCUAAGCUCUGUUGUGUGGAAUUUAACAGUGUCUGAAGUGUCUGAGAAACCUGAAGAAGUCAGUUCAUCGUGGUAUUUUCUAUACAUACUCACAUCUGUAAUUGGAUCGCUCCUAUGUGGCUUCACUUCAGCUUUCUGUCUCUGCAGAAAACUCAGGGCCCGCACACCAAACCAGAACCCAGUCCAGCACCAGUUUCCUCUUGAGUCGAGAGAAGAGGCGGCCGUCACUCAGCCAGAGGGUGGCACAGAAAGAAGGGCAAAAAACAAGAAGAGCAGUCAGUACAUGGAGAGGCUCAACUCAAUCUAUGGUGUCUAAUGAGCUGACGAGCCUUUCAAAUGAAAGUCAGACAUGGACAGAGUGUUCAAGAGAGAGAUCAAACUUGACAGGCAUUAAAUUUUUUAUUUUCAAACCAGGUGCUUCAAGGGAAGGCGAUCAGAAGGAGGACAUCUUUGUCACUGAUGCCUUCGGCUUAUCUAACAGUACCACAUUAAAACCAGUGCUUUCACUUUAAGGGAUAUUGUUUUUAGCUUAUCUUUUUAUUUUAUGGCUUUGAAUCUGACUGUUCUUAGUGUGCUGUGUUGAAUGUUUUCCUGUCUGCACUAUUAGCUCACCAAGGCAAGUUCCUAAGAAUGUUUCUUGUAAUGGCAAUAACGUUACCUUGUGUAUAUAGAUAUGUUUAUAUAUAUAUUUAUGUAUAGAUAUGUUCUUAAUAAUUAUUAUGUUGUAUGUAAAUAUGUUGUAUGUAGAUUUGGAGUUGUGAUGAAAGUAAUUUCCCCCUGGGAUUAUUAAAGUAUUUUUGAUUCAGAUUCUGAUCAAAUCAACUCAACAGGCUUCUAUUGGGAGUCGGUGCCCCCUAGGGUUCUGUGGGGGGAAUGACAAUCAAAAUAAAUUACAUUCAGAGACUACAGUGUAGUGUUAUUUUCAGUUAAUCCAGUGAACUAGUCCAGAGUAGAAGUUGUUGACUCCUCUGGGGAAAAUGCAUAUAUAAUUUACUGAGCAUCAAGAUCUGGUUGUUGUUCUUUUUUUAAACACCAAAAAGCAAUUGGUGUGCUCUGAAAGCACAGUCAGAAGUACGGUCACACUAUGUGGGUGUUCAGCUCUGUGUAGAAGUGGUUUUCAUGCAGUUGAAUAUGUCUACGUAUAUAUUUCAGCUGAUUGCUAAUGAAAUUAUUUUACAGAUGAUUUUCAAGACGGACCAAGUUUGAAUUCUCAAGAUUCAAAUUUGAAUGAAGUUGUUGUCUAUUAGACUCUCACAUGACUUAAUUUUAUGUUCUACAAAAGCUGUGACACAUCAGUGUACACACAUCUUAGUUUUGAGCAGUUAGACCCCAACAAACCACUUCCUUUCCUGUGCACCUCCUCCACAAAUACAUUUAUUAACUGAUGCUGAUGUUCCCGUCUGACUUUCUCUGUCUGGUGGUCAUCAUGUUCAGCUUUAAAGCAGUUCUGCUCUCCGUUCAACUAUCAGUUAUGUGCCAAGUCUUUGCAGGGGUUCCUGAAAACCACUACUGGGAUAUACUGGUGUUCAGAGGAGACUCCAUCAUGUUCACAUGCAACACAUCCAUGGCAAAUAUAACUCUAAUCAAAUGGACCAAAGGCAGAUCUGUUUUUAUUUAUGCAGUCAUUAACAAUAAGACUUUUUCAAAUUUCACCUCUCACAGACUGAGAAUAGACUCAAACUCAUCAACAAAGCUGCAUGUUAUUAAUGCUCAGUGUGAUGACGAAGGACUUUAUAUAUGUAAUGUAACUAGUAUUGAUGGUCCAAGCUCUGUUGUGUGGAAUUUAACAGUGUCUGAAGUGUCUGAGAAACCUGAAGAAGUCAGUUCAUCGUGGUAUUUUCUAUACAUACUCACAUCUGUAAUUGGAUUGCUCUGUGGCUUCACUCCAGCUCUCUGUCUCUGCAGAAAAAUCUGGACCAAGACCCCAAACCAGGACUUAGUGAGUAGCAGGACCCUGAUUUAUGCCCAGUCUCACCUUCAGUUGGGAGGAGAGGUUGUUCCUGCUCAAUAUCAAAGUUGUGUAGAAUACAGGAUAAAUCACAAGCAGGAGGAGUCAGUUCUUCAAUAGGUUCGAUUCAGUCUGUGGUCUGUAGAGCAUGAUGUUCAGAUUAAAGCCGAAUAAGAAAUAAGAGAUAUGUGGGACACAAAGAGAGGACUGUUUUGAUGGAAAAUAUUGUGAAACCAGACCAGAGAUUGAUGGUCUUGUUAAAAAUAAACAUGGAGAAAAGUUGAUUAUUUGAUUCAGUU